This 390-nucleotide ribosomal RNA is filed under the name uncultured bacterium. RNAcentral's name for it is "bacterial SSU rRNA". It matches the Rfam family "Bacterial small subunit ribosomal RNA", at positions 28 to 430 of the family's 1533-position model. The record is from RNAcentral.
GAUUAACGCUGGCGGCGUGCCUAACACAUGCAAGUCGAACGAGGUAGCAAUACCUAGUGGCAGACGGGUGAGUAACGCGUGGUCAACCUACCGUUGAGUGGGGGAUAACUCGCCGAAAGGCGAGCUAAUACCGCAUACGUCUCCGAGUGGCAUCACUUGGCGAUAAAAGGAGCAAUCCGCUCGAUGACGGGACCGCGUCCCAUUAGCUAGAUGGUGGGGUAACGGCCUACCAUGGCUCCGAUGGGUAGCUGGUUUGAGAGAGCGACCAGCCACACUGGGACUGAGAAACGGCCCAGACUCCUACGGGAGGCAGCAGUGAGGAAUUUUCCGCAAUGGGCGAAAGCCUGACGGAGCGACGCCGCGUGUGGGAAGAAGGCCUCGGUCGUAACC